RNAcentral lists this ribosomal RNA (301 nucleotides) under uncultured bacterium. RNAcentral describes it as "partial 16S ribosomal RNA". It matches the Rfam family "Bacterial small subunit ribosomal RNA", at positions 509 to 809 of the family's 1533-position model. The record is from RNAcentral.
CAGUCGCCGCGGUAAUACGUAGGUGGCAAGCGUUGUCCGGAAUUAUUGGGCGUAAAGGGCUCGCAGGCGGUUUCUUAAGUCUGAUGUGAAAGCCCCCGGCUCAACCGGGGAGGGUCAUUGGAAACUGGGAAACUUGAGUGCAGAAGAGGAGAGUGGAAUUCCACGUGUAGCGGUGAAAUGCGUAGAGAUGUGGAGGAACACCAGUGGCGAAGGCGACUCUCUGGUCUGUAACUGACGCUGAGGAGUGAAAGCGUGGGGGGCGAACAGGAUUAGAUACCCGUGUAGUCCCUGUCUCUUAUAA